CGUAGUCAACCUACCUUAUGGACGAGGAUAAUCUCGGGAAACUGAGGAUAAUACUCGAUAGACCAUCAUUCCUGGAAUGGUUGGUGGUUGAAAUGAUUCGUCGCCAUAGGAUGGGACUGCGGCCUAUCAGCUUGUUGGCGAGGUAAUGGCUCACCAAGGCGAUUACAGGUACGGGCUCUGAGAGGAGAAGCCUGGAGAUGGGUACUGAGACACGGACCCAGGCCCUAUGGGGCGCAGCAGGCGAGAAAACUUUGCAAUGUGCGAAAGCACGACAAGGUUAAUCCGAGUGAUUUCUGCUAAAGGAAUCUUUUGCUAGUUCUAAAAAUACUAGUGAAUAAGGGGUGGGCAAGUUCUGGUGUCAGCCGCCGCGGUAAAACCAACACCUCAAGUGGUCAGGAGGAUUAUUGGGCCUAAAGCAUCCGUAGCCGGCUCUUCAAGUUUUCGGUUAAAUCUAUACGCUUAACGUAUAGGCUGCCAAAAAUACUGUAGAGCUAGGGAGUGGGAGAGGUAGACGGUACUCGGUAGGAAGGGGUAAAAUCUUUUGAUCUAUUGAUGACCACCUGUGGCGAAGGCGGUCUACCAGAACAUGUUCGACGGUGAGGGAUGAAAGCUGGGGGAGCAAACCGGAUUAGAUACCCGGGUAGUCCCAGCUGUAAACGAUGCAGACUCGAUGAUGUAUUAGCAUAUAGCUGAUACAGUGUCGCAGGGAAGCCGUUAAGUCUGCCGCCUGGGAAGUACGUACGCAAGUAUGAAACUUAAAGGAAUUGGC
RNAcentral lists this ribosomal RNA (769 nucleotides) under uncultured marine group I thaumarchaeote. RNAcentral describes it as "bacterial SSU rRNA". It matches the Rfam family "Archaeal small subunit ribosomal RNA", at positions 99 to 869 of the family's 1478-position model. Lineage: Archaea; Thermoproteati; Nitrososphaerota. The record is from RNAcentral.